CGGGUAACGGAGAAUCAGGGUUCGAUUCCGGAGAGGGAGCCUGAGAAACGGCUACCACAUCCAAGGAAGGCAGCAGGCGCGCAAAUUACCCACUCCCGGCACGGGGAGGUAGUGACGAAAAAUAACAAUGCUGGGCUUCAAGUCCGGUAAUUGGAAUGAGUACACUUUAAAUCCUUUAACGAGGAUCUAGUGGAGGGCAAGUCUGGUGCCAGCAGCCGCGGUAAUUCCAGCUCCACGAGCAUGUACGUAAGUUGUUGCAGUUAAAAAGCUCGUAGUUGGAUCUCAGGCCGUGGCCGGUGGUCCGCCCGAUACGGGUGUGCACUGCCGAGCCCGGUCUACGUCUGGUCUAACGUCCGUAGUGCCCUUAACCGGGUGCUACGGAAUGCCAGAAGGUUUACUCUGAAAAAAUUAGAGUGCUUAAAGCAAGCCGUUGUGCUUGAAUACUGUCGCAUGGAAUAAUGGAAUAGGACCUCGGAUCUAUUUUGUUGGUUUUCGGAGUCGAGGUAAUGAUUAAGAGGGACAGACGGGGGCAUUUGUAUUGCGCCGUUAGAGGUGAAAUUCUUGGAUCGGCGCAAGACAAACAACUGUGAAAGCAUUUGCCAAGGAUGUUUUCAUUAACCAAGAACGAAAGUCAGAGGUUCGAAGACGAUCAGAUACCGUCGUAGUUCUGACCAUAAACGAUGCCAACUGGCGAUCCGCCGUAGUCUGGCUUAAAGGACUCGGCGGGCAGCCUCCGGGAAACCUAAGUCUAUGGGUUCCGGGGGAAGUAUGGUUGCAAAGCUGAAACUUAAAGGAAUUGACGGAAGGGCACCAUCAGGAGUGGAGCCUGCGGCUUAAUUUGACCCAACACGGGAAAACUCACCCGGCCAGGACACCGUAAGGAUUGACAGACUGAGAGCUCUUUCUUGAUUCGGUGGGUGGUGGUGCAUGGCCGUUCUUAGUUGGUGGAGUGAUUUGUCUGGUUAAUUCCGAUAACGAACGAGACUCUAGCCUGCUAACUAGACGGGCGAUCCACUUGUGGGUCGACCCGAUUUGCUUCUUAGAGGGACAAGUGGCGUUCCUAGCCACGCGAAAUUGAGCAAUAACAGGUCUGUGUUGCCCUUAGAUGUCCGGGGCCGCACGCGCGCUACAAUGAGGGACGCAGUGUGCCCGCAAAGCCUGACCCGAAAGGGUUGGGUAAUCAUUUCAAUUUCCCUCGUAAUAGGGAUUGAGCAUUGUAACUAUUGCUCAUGAACGAGGAAUUCCUAGUAAUCGCGAGUCAUAGGCUUGCGUUGACUACGUCCCUGCCCUUUGUACACACCGCCCGUCGCUACUACCGAUUGAAUGGUUUAGCGAGAUCCUCGGAUUGGGCCUAGUCCGUGCGCAAGCAUGCUCGAGGUCUAAGAAGAAGCUCAAGCUUGAUCAUUUAGAGGAAGUAAAAGUCGUAACAAGGUU
RNAcentral lists this ribosomal RNA (1434 nucleotides) under metagenome. RNAcentral's name for it is "SSU rRNA". It matches the Rfam family "Eukaryotic small subunit ribosomal RNA", at positions 356 to 1801 of the family's 1831-position model. The record is from RNAcentral.